This 305-nucleotide ribosomal RNA is filed under the name uncultured bacterium. RNAcentral's name for it is "partial 16S ribosomal RNA". It matches the Rfam family "Bacterial small subunit ribosomal RNA", at positions 508 to 807 of the family's 1533-position model. The record is from RNAcentral.
ACAGCAGUCGCCGCGGUAAUACGUAGGUGGCAAGCGUUGUCCGGAAUUAUUGGGCGUAAAGCGCGCGCAGGUGGUUUAAUAAGUCUGAUGUGAAAGCCCACGGCUCAACCGUGGAGGGUCAUUGGAAACUGUUAAACUUGAGUGCAGGAGAGAAAAGUGGAAUUCCUAGUGUAGCGGUGAAAUGCGUAGAGAUUAGGAGGAACACCAGUGGCGAAGGCGGCUUUUUGGCCUGUAACUGACACUGAGGCGCGAAAGCGUGGGGAGCAAACAGGAUUAGAUACCCCCGUAGUCCCUGUCUCUUAUAC